CAUGCAAGUCGAACGAGUUCUCGUUGAUGAUCGGUGCUUGCACCGAGAUUCAACAUGGAACGAGUGGCGGACGGGUGAGUAACACGUGGGUAACCUGCCCUUAAGUGGGGGAUAACAUUUGGAAACAGAUGCUAAUACCGCAUAGAUCCAAGAACCGCAUGGUUCUUGGCUGAAAGAUGGCGUAAGCUAUCGCUUUUGGAUGGACCCGCGGCGUAUUAGCUAGUUGGUGAGGUAAUGGCUCACCAAGGCGAUGAUACGUAGCCGAACUGAGAGGUUGAUCGGCCACAUUGGGACUGAGACACGGCCCAAACUCCUACGGGAGGCAGCAGUAGGGAAUCUUCCACAAUGGACGCAAGUCUGAUGGAGCAACGCCGCGUGAGUGAAGAAGGCUUUCGGGUCGUAAAACUCUGUUGUUGGAGAAGAAUGGUCGGCAGAGUAACUGUUGUCGGCGUGACGGUAUCCAACCAGAAAGCCACGGCUAACUACGUGCCAGCAGCCGCGGUAAUACGUAGGUGGCAAGCGUUAUCCGGAUUUAUUGGGCGUAAAGCGAGCGCAGGCGGUUUUUUAAGUCUGAUGUGAAAGCCCUCGGCUUAACCGAGGAAGCGCAUCGGAAACUGGGAAACUUGAGUGCAGAAGAGGACAGUGGAACUCCAUGUGUAGCGGUGAAAUGCGUAGAUAUAUGGAAGAACACCAGUGGCGAAGGCGGCUGUCUGGUCUGUAACUGACGCUGAGGCUCGAAAGCAUGGGUAGCGAACAGGAUUAGAUACCCUGGUAGUCCAUGCCGUAAACGAUGAAUGCUAGGUGUUGGAGGGUUUCCGCCCUUCAGUGCCGCAGCUAACGCAUUAAGCAUUCCGCCUGGGGAGUACGACCGCAAGG
Molecule: ribosomal RNA, 876 nt
Filed under: Lacticaseibacillus paracasei
Lineage: Bacteria; Bacillati; Bacillota; Bacilli; Lactobacillales; Lactobacillaceae
Description: bacterial SSU rRNA
Rfam family: Bacterial small subunit ribosomal RNA
Source: RNAcentral